RNAcentral lists this ribosomal RNA (497 nucleotides) under uncultured bacterium. Its description in RNAcentral is "partial 16S ribosomal RNA". It matches the Rfam family "Bacterial small subunit ribosomal RNA", at positions 28 to 507 of the family's 1533-position model. The record is from RNAcentral.
GAUGAACGCUGGCGGCGUGCCUAAUACAUGCAAGUCGAGCGAACAGACGAGGAGCUUGCUCCUCUGACGUUAGCGGCGGACGGGUGAGUAACACGUGGAUAACCUACCUAUAAGACUGGGAUAACUUCGGGAAACCGGAGCUAAUACCGGAUAAUAUAUUUAACCGCAUGGUUCAAUAGUGAAAGACGGUUUUGCUGUCACUUAUAGAUGGAUCCGCGCCGCAUUAGCUAGUUGGUAAGGUAACGGCUUACCAAGGCAACGAUGCGUAGCCGACCUGAGAGGGUGAUCGGCCAAACUGGAACUGAGACACGGUCCAGACUCCUACGGGAGGCAGCAGUAGGGAAUCUUCCGCAAUGGGCGAAAGCCUGCCGGAGCAACGCCGCGUGAGUGAUGAAGGUCUUCGGAUCGUAAAACUCUGUUAUUAGGGAAGAACAAAUGUGUAAGUAACUAUGCACGUCUUGACGGUACCUACUCAGAAAGCCACGGCUAACUACGUG